CAAUAGUGUAUAUUUAAGUUGUUGCAGUUAAAAAGCUCGUAGUUGGAUUUUGGGUCGGGGGCACCGGUCCGCCGUUCCGGUGUGCACUGGUGGCCCCUUCCUUUCUGCCGGGGACGUGCGUCGCACUUAAUUGGGUGGCGUUCGGAGUCGGCGUUGUUACUUUGAAAAAAUUAGAGUGUUCAAAGCAAGCCAUCGCUCUGAAUACAUUAGCAUGGAAUAACAUGAUAGGACUCCGGUCUUAUUUUGUUGGUUUCCGAGACUGGAGUAAUGAUUAAGAGGGACAGUCGGGGGCAUCCGUAUUUCAUUGUCAGAGGUGAAAUUCUUGGAUUUAUGAAAGACGAACUUCUGCGAAAGCAUUUGCCAAGGAUGUUUUCAUUAA
This 379-nucleotide ribosomal RNA is filed under the name uncultured eukaryote. RNAcentral describes it as "partial 18S ribosomal RNA". It matches the Rfam family "Eukaryotic small subunit ribosomal RNA", at positions 592 to 976 of the family's 1831-position model. The record is from RNAcentral.